Papaver somniferum (opium poppy) is the source of this 1632-nucleotide long non-coding RNA. RefSeq lists it as uncharacterized. The transcript is spliced from 2 exons. The record is from RefSeq and is a predicted model, not a curated record. Lineage: Eukaryota; Viridiplantae; Streptophyta; Magnoliopsida; Ranunculales; Papaveraceae.
AUCCUUAUGAAUGCUUCGAUCUUCAAAUGAACAUUUUCUGCUUAUUGUACUGCAACAACCCCUUUAAGAACUAUGGAGUGACUGAAACAGGAAUGUCACAUGUUUCUUGUUCUUGCCCCAAAGCCUUAACGAGCUCUUUCUCACACCACUUCUGAAAUCAUCUGGUUGGUUAUCUAGGCCGAGAUUAGUGAUUAGAGAGUGGACUCUCUUUUCUGAGAAUGGGGCUAUUACUGUUCAGAGCAUCAAACUGCAUCUUGAAACUGAAGGGGUGCGUGUUUUGUAAUACACAUAAAUCAUACACGCCUUCUGUAUUACUUGUGUACGAAGUGUUGUUACUUGGUCACCACUCCCCGAGCUGGCUGAAAGAGUAAACCCUUUCCACAUUUCUUUCUCUUUCUGCCAACUUGCUUUUUCCAGAUUUUUUUUUAGAGGGACAUUUAAUUUUUCUUCUCAGAUUCUUGAUUUUCUGCUUCUCCUCCGUGACUUACCGGAGAUUAAUUUCGUCUCCUUAAUAACCGGUAAAGGUUCCUGGUAGUUUGUUAGUUAAAUUUAGGGUUUGAGGUUUGAGUGUAGUUUGGAUCUCAGAAAUCCUCUGUUAGUUUAUAAAUUUUGUUGUCUGUUCACUGGGUUUGCUAAUUCACUGUAUGUUGAAGUGUUGUCAGUUGUUCAGUAAGUAGAAUUUUGAUUCCUAGAGAUUAGGGUUUCUUGGAUUGCUGUGCUGGUGAUUUGAUUUACUGUAUAUGAAUCAUGAUUUUGUUAAUUUGAAUCGCCUUGUGAUUGUGGAAUGGGCUCAGUUAUGGAGUUGCAUAUUGCUGAUUUAGAUUCUUGUCUUAGAAAAUAACCAAGUAAAAGAGGGACCAGAGAGUGGUGGGGGAAGGAAGAUGGAGAGCAAUAUAUUUGAAGCAACAGUAGCAAAAGAAAUCGCUGAGAGGAAGUUUACCGCACAGGACAUUGCUGGUGCGAAGAAAUUUGCUUCGAAAGCUCAAAAUCUGUAUCCAAAUCUUGAAGGUAUUUCUCAUAUGUUGUCGACAUUGAUGUGUAUCUCUCAGCGAAGAAUAUAGUGUGCGGGGAAGCAGAUUGGUAUGGUAUUCUUGGUGUGAGUCAGUAUUCAGAUGAUGAAACAGUUCGAAAACAAUACAAGAAACUGGCUCUAUUGCUUCACCCGGACAAGAACCAAUCAGUUGGGGCAGACGGAGCAUUUAAGCUCAUUUCACAGGCACGGAGUUUGUUGUCUGAUAGGACUAAAAGAGCAGCAUAUGAUCAAAUGAGGUUUCCUAGAACAUCUCAUCCCGAAGUUUGAACCACAGCAAGUGGUCCAUCCUCCACAGACGCAAAUGUUUUCCGUCAAUAUCAAGGUGCUAAGAAGAAGACAAACAACGAUCUGUUUUAUGACUUAGCGGGAUGGGUGGUUCUUGCAGUUGCCAUUGUUGCUUGGAUUGGAAUGGUGAAAUCCCAGGUUCGACUAUAAUAUCACGGCACUACUGGGUUUACUCUUAGAUGUAGAAGCUAACAAGCUCCAAGACUCGCUAUUGUGGUGCUGCAUUUUGGGUACUACGGUUGUAUUUUUUACCAUUCACCCAGUAGUGUAUAUGGCUCAUCAUCUAUAUAUUUAACUUGAUUUUGUCCUGGAAA